RNAcentral lists this ribosomal RNA (253 nucleotides) under uncultured bacterium. RNAcentral's name for it is "partial 16S ribosomal RNA". It matches the Rfam family "Bacterial small subunit ribosomal RNA", at positions 524 to 776 of the family's 1533-position model. The record is from RNAcentral.
UACGAAGGGGGCUAGCGUUGUUCGGAAUCACUGGGCGUAAAGGGCGCGUAGGCGGCCAUAUACGUCUGGGGUGAAAGCCUGUGGCUCAACCACAGAAUUGCCUUCGAUACUGUAUGGCUCGAGACCGGAAGAGGUAAGUGGAACUGCGAGUGUAGAGGUGAAAUUCGUAGAUAUUCGCAAGAACACCAGUGGCGAAGGCGGCUUACUGGUCCGGUUCUGACGCUGAGGCGCGAAAGCGUGGGGAGCAAACAGG